Molecule: long non-coding RNA, 930 nt
Filed under: Brassica napus (rape)
Lineage: Eukaryota; Viridiplantae; Streptophyta; Magnoliopsida; Brassicales; Brassicaceae
Description: long non-coding RNA (BNAP_LNC016326)
Source: RNAcentral
GAGGACUAUAAAUUGGUGUUGGAGGCUUCUGCACAGGUGGUGGAAGUACAGGUGGACUGUAUGUGGGCGAUGGAGGCUUUUGUAUUGGUGGUGGUAUUACAGGAGGACUGUAAGUUGGUGUCGGAGGUUUCACUGGAGGUGGUUUAACAGGUGGGCUAUAAGUUGCUGUUGGAGGUUGUUGCACUGGUGGUGGCUUUAUAGGUGGGCUAUAAGUUGGUGUUGGAGGUUUUACUGGGGGAGGUUUAAUAGGUGGACUGUAGGUUGGUGUUGGAGGCUUCUGCACUGGUGGUGGCUUUACCGGAGGACUAUAAGUGGGAGUUGGAGGCUUUUGCACAGGUGGUGGUUUGAUAGGAGGGCUAUAAGUUGGUGUUGGAGGUUUUUGCACGGGUGGUGGUUUGAUAGGAGGACUGUAAGUUGGAGUUGGAGGCUUUUGCACGGGUGGUGGUUUAACAGGUGGACUAUAAGUGGGUGUUGGAGGUUUCUGCACCGGUGGUGGUUUUACAGGAGGACUAUAAGAUGGUGUCGGAGGUUGUUGCACUGGUGGUGACUUUACGGGAGGACUAUAAAUAGGUGUUGGAGGCUUCACUGGUGGUGGUUUAACUGGUGGACUGUAGGUCGGUGUUGGAGGCUUCUGCACUGGUGGUGGCUUUAUCGGAGGACUAUAAGUGGGAGUUGGAGGCUUUUGCACUGGUGGUGGUUUGAUAGGAGGGCUAUAAGUUGGUGUUGGAGGUUUUUGCACGGGUGGUGGUUUGAUAGGAGGACUGUAAGUUGGUGUGGGAGGCUUCUGGACGGGUGGUGGUUUAACAGGUGGACUAUAAGUGGGCGUAGGAGGCUUUUGCACUGGCGGUGGUUUUACAGGAGGACUAUAAGUUGGUGUCGGAGGUUUUACCGGAGGUGGUUUAACUGGUGGGCUGUAAGUUGGUGUUGGAG